This is a long non-coding RNA of Ceratitis capitata (Mediterranean fruit fly), 900 nucleotides long. RefSeq lists it as uncharacterized. Lineage: Eukaryota; Metazoa; Arthropoda; Insecta; Diptera; Tephritidae. The transcript is spliced from 4 exons. The record is from RefSeq and is a predicted model, not a curated record.
ACUAUUAUUAUUGACUUCUGAUGCUACGUUGCAGGUAUAUGCCGGCACAGAGUGCCAACCCCUCCAAAUGAUAUUCUGACAUGAAUCCUGUUUUGCAAUAAUUAAAGUUUUCGUUUGAUGGUGAAUAUACCUAACCUCAUUUCCAUUGGAAUUUAUUUGUUUACAUAUUCAGAUGAAUUGUAAAUUAUUUGAAUCGUUCAAUUUCGGUCGUUUUCCUUCUUUAUUACGGUUAUUCAAAAGAAAUACUAAAACAACUUGCUGAAGAGAAAUGCAACCUAAUUACAUGGUCUCAGUAACCAUCCGUGAGGAAGACGAACCUGAGAUGGUUUAGGUACUUCAAAAGAACCUGCAUCAUUCCAACCCAGCGUCAGCUGCACUAACUCUUUCUUCGUCUCAGCGAAACAGCGGAAAACAUCCAAGAACUCUGGAUCGUAAUAAACAAAAUACAGCGAUGUCGACAUUAUAUGCAUCACAGUAAGGCUGGAGAGCAAGCUUCUCUGCAUAGCUUCCUCUCCUGAGAUCACCUCAUACCUCUGCGUACAAAAACCGAAGUAAGGGUGGCAGGGACUAAAUUCAAAAAAGCACUGUCUGAGUCCCUCGCAAACAACGUUUAGCACGAUAGGUACAGUUUAUCGCUAUCAAAAAGUGUAUUUCUCUCGUUGAGCUAAACUCAUGGUCAAAAUUUGUUGAACCGGUAGACGUUGUCACUAAAGUCAUGCCCUUUGUACGGGGCACAAAUAUAUCAUCAAAUAUGAAAAAUACUCUGGAAAGUUAACUAUCACUUAAAUGUGUAAGCAUAUAACAGUAGACAUAAAGGGAAUACAAAAAGUAGAGUUAUGAGAAUCCAUGUUUCUUAGCAUCACAUGUUCUGCUUAAAAUUUAUUUGAUUCUCUUUGGAUA